This 1002-nucleotide long non-coding RNA is filed under the name Panax ginseng (ginseng). Its description in RNAcentral is "long non-coding RNA (PGIN_LNC011159)". The record is from RNAcentral. Lineage: Eukaryota; Viridiplantae; Streptophyta; Magnoliopsida; Apiales; Araliaceae.
GGUUGUGAUAAAGAGAUAAAACCUAAGUUGAGAUUUGUAAUCAGCGAAUCAGGCAAGUAUCCUACCUUUGCAUUUUCUUUAUGCAAUGGACAUGAGUAAGAAGUUUCAGAAUUAUUCUAUUCCUGUACAGAUUAUGUACGCUUUGAUUAUCAACAUGUUAGCUCAGAUAUAUAUUCUGUUAAGUUGAUUUCUAAAUGGUUAUACAAGUGUCCCCACUUGGAUAAUCAUGGCAUUUAUUCACAUGUUGAUAUACCUUUGUCAAUUACCCGUAUAUAUAUAUGUUGAAUUACAUAUUAUUGUUGAGCAAGAUUAAAAACCUUCGGGUUUGGAACCAGGCAUGUAUGAACAUCCCUAUAUGGGAAGAUUUUUGCGCAAGGCGGAUAGAGUGAGCGAUGAAUUUCGUUCAAGUUAUGUAGUAUUGAUCAAUACAGGGUACAACGGGGCUGAUCACCCUCCGUGCCCGUAAGUUAUGACGGUUUGAGGAUAGAAUUCCGCUAAACCUUUUCGAAAAUGAAAAGAAUGUUCAUAGUAUGUUUCUUAAACCCUAUUCAAGGGUAGAGCCAGAGCCAAAUUUAAAGAAUUUGAAAGAGAGUUGUUAUGUGAAUUUUUUAUCAGUACAGAUUACUUCACAACUUUCGAUUCGUUGUAGAAGUGUUAUGUAAAGAGAAUACUUAUAUUCUUUCAGCUUAUAUAUAUAAUUGCUAUUACUUGCUGGGCACUCAAAUGCUCAUCCUUGCUUAAACUAAAUGUUUUCAGUUACCUACGAUCGACCUGAAGGCUCAGGCACGAACAAGGGAAAAGAAAAGCUGUUCGAAUGAGAAUUAGUAUGAGUUAAUGGUUAUAGUUAGUAAGACAAUGGAAUCUAUUGUCAGGUAUUGUAAGGAAUGUAUUUGAAGGUCAUGUACAUGGGAAAGUAAACUUUGAUGUAUGUAAAUUCAGUUCGAAUUAUAUUAUUAUUUAGUAUUAUUCAGCUUAAAGAAAUGGUAUCGUGGAGAACCGAGU